AACGCCAUAUGCCACCAGUUUUGGAUAACUGCAGAGUUAUAUUCAGUUGGACGCACGUUGUCAAUAAAAAAUAAAAUAAAAACAUGCCACACACUGCGUGUCGUUGUGUUGCUUAUAUGGAUUCCAAAUCGACAGAAAAAAGUGUAUACUGGUGGCAGCUGUUAUUGUCGCCUGGCGCUGCAUUUCCAAGCUGUCCACACAAGAAAUCGGAAACCGAACGCAGUCGGAACGAGGUGUUUAGAUAGAACACUGUCGACAAAAUACAGCGAAAACUGGAUCGAUCCCAAGGCAACUUAAGCAAUUAAGCAGGCAACGCGACGUCAAGCGAGCUCCUUGGCAGACGCGCGUCAGACUGGUA
Long non-coding RNA from Drosophila navojoa, 358 nucleotides. NCBI's taxonomy places the organism in Eukaryota, Metazoa, Arthropoda, Insecta, Diptera, Drosophilidae. The record is from RefSeq and is a predicted model, not a curated record.